AAAGCCUCAUCAAGUUACUCAGAAACCAGAACCAUCAGUGCCACAAGCUGAAUCAGCUAAGCAGGCUGCAGAUUCUACUCCAGUAGUUCCUCCCCCUAAAGUUGAUUAUGCUACUGAUCUUUUUAACAUGCUUUCUAUGGAUGAUCCUACUGAAAAUGGCUCAGAGGCAGCCUCUGCUGAUGAUAAUGCAUGGGCUGGUUUCCAGUGUAUGUCUUAAAUCUCCUUUUCCCCUUCACAAUUUUUCUUCUGUUUUUUUUUGCUUUAUUUAUACCUUUUCUUUUUGUUUCUUAAAAAUUAUAAUGGCAAUAGUUUCUUGUUAAAAUUGUUAUAUGAUGGUUCAGCUAAUAUUGCCAUUGAUUUUGACGCUUAACAACUUGCAGCUGCUGAACAAACUUCAACAGCUGAGAAAACUGCUCCUGCAAAACCAAUUGAAGGUAAUACCCAGUCCACUUCUGGAAUUGAGGAUCUAUUUAAAGAUUCACCUUCAAUCAUGCCAGCUGC
This 501-nucleotide long non-coding RNA is filed under the name Vitis vinifera (wine grape). RNAcentral's name for it is "long non-coding RNA (VVIN_LNC006419)". Lineage: Eukaryota; Viridiplantae; Streptophyta; Magnoliopsida; Vitales; Vitaceae. The record is from RNAcentral.